AGCAAUCUGACAGUAGAGUGGCGCAAGGGUGCGUAACGCGUAAGUAACUUGCCCCAAGGUAAGGAAUAACGUCGAGAAAUCGGCGCUAAUACCUCAUAAUGCAGCGGAUCCGCAUGGAUAUGUUGUUAAAGGUUUACCGCCUUGGGAUAGGCUUGCGUCUGAUUAGCUAGUUGGUGUGGUAACGGCACACCAAGGCUACGAUCAGUAACUGGUCUGAGAGGAUGAUCAGUCACACUGGAACUGAGACACGGUCCAGACUCCUACGGGAGGCAGCAGUGAGGAAUAUUGGGCAAUGCUCGAAAGAGUAACCCAGCAACGCCGCGUGGAGGAUGAAGGUAUUCUAUAUCGUAAACUCCUGUGAGAGCAGACGAAAGACAGAUUAUUUAAUCUGGAUGACUGUAUGCUCAGAGGAAGCCCCGGCUAACUACGUG
Molecule: ribosomal RNA, 431 nt
Filed under: uncultured bacterium
Lineage: Bacteria
Description: bacterial SSU rRNA
Rfam family: Bacterial small subunit ribosomal RNA
Source: RNAcentral